Molecule: small RNA, 667 nt
Filed under: Arabidopsis thaliana (thale cress)
Lineage: Eukaryota; Viridiplantae; Streptophyta; Magnoliopsida; Brassicales; Brassicaceae
Description: putative long intergenic non-coding RNA
Source: RNAcentral
UAAUAUGUAAGUACCAAUUCCUCCUCUCUGUUCUUUGGCCAAAAAAAAAUGAUAACCUUAUCAUAGUUUUGAUCCUCUUUUUACCGCCAUAACGUUUUUGAGGCAUCUGGUAGAAGAGUUGAGAAUGUUCAGUUGUUUACAAGAACGGAAAUGGUAUGAGAACAAGAACAUUUCUUCCGCUAUAGCUAUGUUGAGUUUUCUUCUUAAGAAGAAGCACAAAAGGUUCGAGUAGCAUUUGCUUAUGUUACUUAUAUAAUUGUCUUUAGGCCAUGGAACUUUAAGGAUAAAACUUGGGCGGUUAAAAAAUCCGCCUAGAUGCAAUUACUGAUAUAGGAGAGGGACAAGGUAGUUCGAAUAGUCUAGUUGGUUCCAAAUUUAGUUUUGAUCGGCUAUGUAGCCGGUAGAUGAAGUUACAUAACGACAACAACAAGCUCAAGGAGGCAUUGCUCAUCAACAUUAAUGGUAUUGCAGCUGAAAUGAGGAACACUAGUUAAGUCACAAUCAAAAUACACUUUGCUCUGUUUUUAACAGAAAACUUAUGCAUAUGACUUGUUUUUGUUUUUUCAUCUUUUUAUGAUUUCAUCUAUCCGCAUCUUUGCCUCUAUUUCGAUUAUGUACUUCAAAGUUCAAACCGCUGGAUCUUAACUAGCAUAGUGCAAUAUAAUCA